UGUGCGACUGUGAGAAGGAAUAGUAGGUUUCAAAGCUUUAUAGAGAGCUAGCGGGUGGUGCAAGUUAGUAAGUGUAGAAAUUGAACUCGCCUUUGAGUCUGUUUUAGCGAAGAACGUAGCUAAAACCGUCAACCGCGUUAAGGAAAUGAGUUGAGUGCGCGUCACUAAUUUGGGUGGUACCGCGGGAGUAAAAGUAUCUCUCGUCCCUUUC
RNAcentral lists this non-coding RNA (211 nucleotides) under Ureibacillus massiliensis. RNAcentral describes it as "Lysinibacillus massiliensis T-box sequence". It matches the Rfam family "T-box leader". From Rfam's summary of the family: Uncharged tRNA acts as the effector for transcription antitermination of genes in the T-box leader family. T-boxes are found upstream of many aminoacyl-tRNA synthetase genes and some amino acid biosynthetic genes usually in Gram-positive bacteria. The record is from RNAcentral. Lineage: Bacteria; Bacillati; Bacillota; Bacilli; Caryophanales; Caryophanaceae.